GACAGCAGCAGCCGCGGUAAUACAGAGGGUGCGAGCGUUAAUCGGAUUUACUGGGCGUAAAGCGUGCGUAGGCGGCUUUUUAAGUCGGAUGUGAAAUCCCUGAGCUUAACUUAGGAAUUGCAUUCGAUACUGGGAAGCUAGAGUAUGGGAGAGGAUGGUAGAAUUCCAGGUGUAGCGGUGAAAUGCGUAGAGAUCUGGAGGAAUACCGAUGGCGAAGGCAGCCAUCUGGCCUAAUACUGACGCUGAGGUACGAAAGCAUGGGGAGCAAACAGGAUUAGAUACCCCUGUAGUCCCUGUCUCCUUAUA
Molecule: ribosomal RNA, 306 nt
Filed under: uncultured bacterium
Lineage: Bacteria
Description: partial 16S ribosomal RNA
Rfam family: Bacterial small subunit ribosomal RNA
Source: RNAcentral